This 429-nucleotide ribosomal RNA is filed under the name uncultured bacterium. RNAcentral's name for it is "bacterial SSU rRNA". It matches the Rfam family "Bacterial small subunit ribosomal RNA", at positions 917 to 1344 of the family's 1533-position model. The record is from RNAcentral.
GGGCCCGCACAAGCGGUGGAGCAUGUGGUUUAAUUCGAAGAUACGCGCAGAACCUUACCAACACUUGACAUGUUCGUCGCGACUUUAAGAGAUUAAAGUUUUCGGUUCGGCCGGACGAAACACAGGUGCUGCAUGGCUGUCGUCAGCUCGUGUCGUGAGAUGUUGGGUUAAGUCCCGCAACGAGCGCAACCCUCACUUUUAGUUGCCAUCAUUUAGUUGGGCACUCUGAAAGAACUGCCAGUGAUAAGCUGGAGGAAGGUGGGGAUGACGUCAAGUCCUCAUGGCCCUUACGUGUUGGGCUACACACGUGCUACAAUGGUAUUUACAACAGGAAGCAAGACGGCGACGUUAAGCAAAUCCUUAAAAGAUACCUCAGUUCGGAUUGCACUCUGCAACUCGAGUGCAUGAAGCUGGAAUUACUAGUAAUCG